UACGUAGGGGCGAGCGUUAUCCGGAAUUAUUGGGCGUAAAGCGCGCGCAGGCGGCUGAUUAAGUCAGGUGUGAAAGGCUGCGGCUCAACCGCAGAGCGGCACCUGAAAACUGGUCAGCUUGAGUGCAGGAGAGGGGAGCGGAAUUCCCGGUGUAGCGGUGGAAUGCGUAGAGAUCGGGAGGAACACCAGUGGCGAAGGCGGCUCUCUGGCCUGUAACUGACGCUGAGGCGCGGAAGCGUGGGGAGCAAACAGG
This 253-nucleotide ribosomal RNA is filed under the name uncultured bacterium. RNAcentral describes it as "partial 16S ribosomal RNA". It matches the Rfam family "Bacterial small subunit ribosomal RNA", at positions 524 to 776 of the family's 1533-position model. The record is from RNAcentral.